RNAcentral lists this ribosomal RNA (771 nucleotides) under uncultured bacterium. RNAcentral describes it as "bacterial SSU rRNA". It matches the Rfam family "Bacterial small subunit ribosomal RNA", at positions 8 to 796 of the family's 1533-position model. The record is from RNAcentral.
AGAGUUUGAUCCUGGCUCAGGACGAACGCUGGCGGCGUGCUUAACACAUGCAAGUCGAGCGGUAAGGCCCUUCGGGGUACACGAGCGGCGAACGGGUGAGUAACACGUGGGUAACCUGCCCUGUACUCUGGGAUAAGCCUUGGAAACGAGGUCUAAUACCGGAUACGACCAUUGAUCGCAUGAUCGGUGGUGGAAAGUUCCGGCGGUAUGGGAUGGACCCGCGGCCUAUCAGCUUGUUGGUGGGGUAAUGGCCUACCAAGGCGACGACGGGUAGCCGGCCUGAGAGGGUGACCGGCCACACUGGGACUGAGACACGGCCCAGACUCCUACGGGAGGCAGCAGUGGGGAAUAUUGCACAAUGGGCGAAAGCCUGAUGCAGCGACGCCGCGUGAGGGAUGACGGCCUUCGGGUUGUAAACCUCUUUCAGCAGGGACGAAGCGCAAGUGACGGUACCUGCAGAAGAAGCACCGGCUAACUACGUGCCAGCAGCCGCGGUAAUACGUAGGGUGCGAGCGUUGUCCGGAAUUAUUGGGCGUAAAGAGCUCGUAGGCGGUUUGUCGCGUCGGCCGUGAAAACUUGGGGCUUAACCCCAAGCUUGCGGUCGAUACGGGCAGACUUGAGUUCGGCAGGGGAGACUGGAAUUCCUGGUGUAGCGGUGAAAUGCGCAGAUAUCAGGAGGAACACCGGUGGCGAAGGCGGGUCUCUGGGCCGACACUGACGCUGAGGAGCGAAAGCGUGGGGAGCGAACAGGAUUAGAUACCCUAGUAGUCC